RNAcentral lists this ribosomal RNA (496 nucleotides) under uncultured bacterium. RNAcentral describes it as "partial 16S ribosomal RNA". It matches the Rfam family "Bacterial small subunit ribosomal RNA", at positions 28 to 506 of the family's 1533-position model. The record is from RNAcentral.
GAUGAACGCUGGCGGCGUGCCUAAUACAUGCCAGUCGAGCGAACAGAUAAGGAGCUUGCUCCUUUGACGUUAGCGGCGGACGGGUGAGUAACACGUGGGUAACCUACCUAUAAGACUGGAAUAACUCCGGGAAACCGGGGCUAAUGCCGGAUAACAUUUAGAACCGCAUGGUUCUAAAGUGAAAGAUGGUUUUGCUAUCACUUAUAGAUGGACCCGCGCCGUAUUAGCUAGUUGGUAAGGUAACGGCUUACCAAGGCAACGAUACGUAGCCGACCUGAGAGGGUGAUCGGCCACACUGGAACUGAGACACGGUCCAGACUCCUACGGGAGGCAGCAGUAGGGAAUCUUCCGCAAUGGGCGAAAGCCUGACGGAGCAACGCCGCGUGAGUGAUGAAGGUCUUCGGAUCGUAAAACGCUGUUAUUAGGGAAGAACAAAUGUGUAAGUAACUGUGCACGUCUGGACGGUACCUAAUCAGAAAGCCACGGCUAACUACGU